This 226-nucleotide long non-coding RNA is filed under the name Elaeis guineensis (African oil palm). Its description in RNAcentral is "long non-coding RNA (EGUI_LNC003259)". The record is from RNAcentral. Lineage: Eukaryota; Viridiplantae; Streptophyta; Magnoliopsida; Arecales; Arecaceae.
UUCCUCCCAAUAACAAAACCGGUAUCAAUGACUGCCAACCUUAUCCCUAAGAACUGCAGUGUCAGGAGUUGAGCACAAAAAUAUGAGCAUCUUCCACCGGCUAUGAUCCAUUCUAUGCAAAAAAAUAAGCAACACAGCUCCCUACUAAUAGCUCAAUCAGGGUCUGAAAGUUCAGCUGGUACCAAACGAAUUUUUGACCAGAUUUUUCCAAAAUGCAUCAAAAGUG